AAGGAAGAUAAUGACGGUACUUGAGGAGGAAGCCCCGGCUAACUACGUGCCAGCAGCCGCGGUAAUACGUAGGGGGCUAGCGUUAUCCGGAUUUACUGGGCGUAAAGGGGGCGUAGGCGGUCUUUCAAGUCAGGAGUGAAAGGCUACGGCUCAACCGUAGUAAGCUCUUGAAACUGGGAGACUUGAGUGCAGGAGAGGAGAGUGGA
Molecule: ribosomal RNA, 206 nt
Filed under: Clostridioides difficile
Lineage: Bacteria; Bacillati; Bacillota; Clostridia; Peptostreptococcales; Peptostreptococcaceae
Description: partial 16S ribosomal RNA
Rfam family: Bacterial small subunit ribosomal RNA
Source: RNAcentral